AACUUUUUCAGGAGAUUGUUCACCCUCAGAUCUGGAAACAGCUUUGCAGGAGAAUGGGAUACUUUUAUCGAUAGCUACUAUGCUGAUCCACUUUGUUUAAUGUUUGGUGGGGCUUGAAUAGCCUAUGGGGAACCUAGGCUGAUGAAGGAGAGGACAAUCAUGCCAUAUUGUGUUGGAUGUAUCAGUAAUAAAUAUCACCUAGAUUGUCAUAUUUGCCUUAAAUAGCUCCUUCAGAUUUGAGGAUUCAGAAGAUAUGAGAAAAUAUUUUGUUUCUCUAUCUUACACUCACAAGCUAGAAAUGCCAUCAUGCUCUCCUAUCAUUGACAGUAUCCUAUUCUCGUUCACUAACCUUACAUAUGCAAUGCUUGUCUUUAAGUUUUGGCAAACAUUGGCCUCUAUGUUCUGAUUAUCAUCUUAAGGGUGUUUUAACCUAUAUACUAUUCCU
Molecule: unclassified non-coding RNA, 445 nt
Filed under: Hevea brasiliensis (rubber tree)
Lineage: Eukaryota; Viridiplantae; Streptophyta; Magnoliopsida; Malpighiales; Euphorbiaceae
Source: RNAcentral